RNAcentral lists this non-coding RNA (202 nucleotides) under Muricomes intestini. The record is from RNAcentral. Lineage: Bacteria; Bacillati; Bacillota; Clostridia; Lachnospirales; Lachnospiraceae.
UCUAACUGAUAUUCUGAAGAGUGGAAUGAAGGGGUAACGCCUGGAAACGCUCACCUAAUACUACGUUGGAGGCUAAGGAGUGUAAUAUCCUGAGCUGACACAGCACGUUGAAGUCGGCUGAAAAUCGCCCAAACAAGCUUAUGCUGUUGUGGAAAGCUGUCCAGAGGUGGAUGGUGCGGUCUAUAGGUCGGGGGUCUAUAAA